GAAUUCGCCCUUAGAGUUUGAUCCUGGCUCAGGACGAACGCUGGCGGCGCGCCUAACACAUGCAAGUCGAACGAGAGAGAGGAAGCUUGCUUCCUCAAUCGAGUGGCGAACGGGUGAGUAACGCGUGAGGAACCUGCCUCAAAGAGGGGGACAACAGUUGGAAACGACUGCUAAUACCGCAUAAGCCCACAGCUCGGCAUCGAGCAGAGGGAAAAGGAGCAAUCCGCUUUGAGAUGGCCUCGCGUCCGAUUAGCUAGUUGGUGAGGUAACGGCCCAUCAAGGCGACGAUCGGUAGCCGGACUGAGAGGUUGAACGGCCACAUUGGGACUGAGACACGGCCCAGACUCCUACGGGAGGCAGCAGUGGGGAAUAUUGCACAAUGGGCGAAAGCCUGAUGCAGCAACGCCGCGUGAGGGAAGACGGUUUUCGGAUUGUAAACCUCUGUUUUCGGUGACGAACAAAUGACGGUAACCGAGUAGGAAGCCACGGCUAACUACGUGCCAGCAGCCGCGGUAAUACGUAGGUGGCAAGCGUUAUCCGGAAUUACUGGGUGUAAAGGGAGCGCAGGCGGGAUAGCAAGUCAGCUGUGAAAACUAUGGGCUCAACCCAUAAACUGCAGUUGAAACUGUUAUUCUUGAGUGGAGUAGAGGCAAGCGGAAUUCCGAGUGUAGCGGUGAAAUGCGUAGAUAUUCGGAGGAACACCAGUGGCGAAGGCGGCUUGCUGGGCUCUAACUGACGCUGAGGCUCGAAAGUGUGGGGAGCAAACAGGAUUAGAUACCCUGGUAGUCCACACUGUAAACGAUGAUU
RNAcentral lists this ribosomal RNA (807 nucleotides) under uncultured bacterium. RNAcentral describes it as "bacterial SSU rRNA". It matches the Rfam family "Bacterial small subunit ribosomal RNA", at positions 1 to 814 of the family's 1533-position model. The record is from RNAcentral.